This 251-nucleotide ribosomal RNA is filed under the name uncultured bacterium. Its description in RNAcentral is "partial 16S ribosomal RNA". It matches the Rfam family "Bacterial small subunit ribosomal RNA", at positions 525 to 775 of the family's 1533-position model. The record is from RNAcentral.
ACGUAGGGGGCAAGCGUUAUCCGGAUUUACUGGGUGUAAAGGGAGCGUAGACGGCAGCGCAAGUCUGAAGUGAAAGCCCGGGGCUCAACCCCGGAAUGGCUUUGGAAACUGUGCGGCUAGAGUACCGGAGGGGUAAGCGGAAUUCCUAGUGUAGCGGUGAAAUGCGUAGAUAUUAGGAGGAACACCAGUGGCGAAGGCGGCUUACUGGACGGUAACUGACGUUGAGGCUCGAAAGCGUGGGGAGCAAACAG